UUCCGUAGGGGGUGCCUGCGGAGGGAUCAUUA
This 32-nucleotide ribosomal RNA is filed under the name [Acremonium] cucurbitacearum. RNAcentral describes it as "Acremonium cucurbitacearum partial 18S ribosomal RNA". Lineage: Eukaryota; Fungi; Ascomycota; Sordariomycetes; Hypocreales; Bionectriaceae. The record is from RNAcentral.